AGCGAACGCUGGCGGCAGGCUUAACACAUGCAAGUCGAACGGGCGUAGCAAUACGUCAGUGGCAGACGGGUGAGUAACGCGUGGGAACGUACCUUUUGGUUCGGAACAACCCAGGGAAACUUGGGCUAAUACCGGAUAAGCCCUUACGGGGAAAGAUUUAUCGCCGAAAGAUCGGCCCGCGUCUGAUUAGCUAGUUGGUGUGGUAACGGCGCACCAAGGCGACGAUCAGUAGCUGGUCUGAGAGGAUGAUCAGCCACAUUGGGACUGAGACACGGCCCAAACUCCUACGGGAGGCAGCAGUGGGGAAUAUUGGACAAUGGGCGCAAGCCUGAUCCAGCCAUGCCGCGUGAGUGAUGAAGGCCCUAGGGUUGUAAGCUCUUUUGUGCGGGAAGAUAAUGACGGUACCGCAAGAAUAACGCCCCGGCUAACUUCGUGCCAGCAGCCGCCGUAAG
Molecule: ribosomal RNA, 452 nt
Filed under: uncultured bacterium
Lineage: Bacteria
Description: bacterial SSU rRNA
Rfam family: Bacterial small subunit ribosomal RNA
Source: RNAcentral